GAUGAAGAACGUAGCGAAAUGCGAUACGUAGUGUGAAUUGCAGAAUUCAGUGAAUCAUCGAAUCUUUGAACGCACAUUGCACCUCUCGGUAUUCCGGGAGGUAUGCCUGUUCGAGCGUCAUUUGUACCCUCAAGCUCUGCUUGGUGUUGGGUGUUUGUUCCGCCUCUGUGUGUGAACUCGCCUCAAAACAAUUGGCAGCCGGCGUACUUGUUUCGGAGCGCAGCACAUUUUGCGAUCCAGAUCAACGUACAGCGGCAUCCAAGAAGCCUUAUUUAACGCUCUUGACCUCGGAUCAGGUAGGGAUACCCGCUGAACUUAAGCAUAUCAAUAAGGAGGA
RNAcentral lists this unclassified non-coding RNA (337 nucleotides) under soil metagenome. Its description in RNAcentral is "partial contains 5.8S ribosomal RNA, internal transcribed spacer 2, and large subunit ribosomal RNA". The stretch from base 1 to 120 matches the Rfam family "5.8S ribosomal RNA", at positions 35 to 154 of the family's 154-position model. The record is from RNAcentral.